GCUGGUGGUACCUGCCUAUUUGAGUCCUUCUAAAGCUUUGCCUUACAAAAACUUCAGGAUUUUAGGAGAAAGCUAUUCUGUUUCCAUCAAAAGGCCUAUUCUUUCAAAAAGCCUUGUUGAGAGAAAACAGCCUCCCUGGAUACUGUGAGAAGCACUGUGAAUAGUGAUGUGGUGGUGUCAAAACCCCCACAGGCCCUACCUAAAUACCUACACUUCUCCAUGCAGCAGCCCCCAACGCCAGCUUUCUUAUAUUCCUUCUUAUAUGUAGGAAUAGGGGAGCUACAGAUACAGCUGCAACAGGAAGUACUGUUUUCCUUACAAUAGGAUGGAUGAAUUGCUCAGUGAGCCUUGACUGCUAAUUGAAUAGCCAUGUUACAGACUCAUCAGAAACCCCUGAGUUGGGUUAAAUGAUGCCAAGGUGUCUGCUGUGAAGGUCUCCUCCAAGCUGCCCUCACUUCCAGGAGAAUAGAAAGGAGCCUGAUUUCUAGCAGCUGAUGUCCAUCAGUAUGAGGAGGAGCUGGGGGAAAGAGGAAUUCAUUUCUAGAGCCUCACUUGAGGCUCUAGAAGAGGCAAUGCUGCGUAUCUGGAAAGCACCUGCUUAGCCCAGCAGUAAUUGCACUUGGACUGUGAGCUGUGCCUACACCCCAUCAGUGCAGUAAGCAGUUUUCCUAUGGGUUUUCUAUGAACACUUGAAGCUUUAAAUAAUACUUUAUAAUAAUGUCAAUAACACUUAAAACUUUCCUGUUUCUACCAUCAUCUUCUCCUCUCUUAUACAAGACGAGAACUGCCACCGUGGCUGGCCCAGACCUGUGUUAAACUGGGUUAGAGCAGCAGCUGGCAGAAGAGCAAAGGGGUGUGUUCCCCAUUUCUGUGGAGAUGAAUGCCUGCAGCCUGGGCACUUUUGGCUUAGAGAGGGAAUAAAACAGCUGCACGAGGCAGAUUGUGGAGAUUGUUGCUGUUUUGUGAAGCUGUCAGUUGGCAGGAGGGUGGAGGACCACAAAACGAAGAGUGGAGUCCACUGGUGGAAGAAGCUACUGCAGCUUUAACAAGAGGAGUUAAAAUUGAAUGAUUCUUUCUUGAAACCAGCCAUUAGUAAACCGAAGUGGAAAGCUUCCCCCUGGUUUUGGCUUUUCAGAUGGGAGAUUGAAAGAACACUUCAAAUUCCUGCAGUGCAAACCUGCAUGAAGCUCUGAGUCCCUGAGACAAGGAGCAGCAUGUGUUCCCUGCUGCAUGGCAAAGAAAGGAGCCAUAAACGUGGGAUCUUGCCAAGAAUAUUGGAGAACAUCCCCAGAAAAGAGUGGAGAAUUUGUGCUCUGGUCAAUGAACCGAGUAAGCACUAUGCAUGUCUAGACCCAUUGUGUGAGUUCAUGGGACAGGCCAAAGAUGAAAGCCUGUACGUUGGGAGCAGGGAGGAGGCUUGCUGGAGAGAAAUCUCAGCACCGAAUUGUCCUGGAACUCAGAGUCAUCUGGCAGGUUUUGUCACAAGGUGUGUCACACAGGAGACGUUAAGCU
Gallus gallus (chicken) is the source of this 1512-nucleotide long non-coding RNA. The record is from Ensembl. NCBI's taxonomy places the organism in Eukaryota, Metazoa, Chordata, Aves, Galliformes, Phasianidae.